AUUGAACGCUGGCGGCAGGCCUAACACAUGCAAGUCGAGCGAGCGGCGGACGGGUGAGUAAUGUAUUGGUACUGCCCGAUAGAGAGGGAUAACUACUGGAAACGGUAGCUAAUACCGCAUACUAUCGGAUAACCCAUAUGGUUUUAGCUAGUAGGUUAGGUAAUGGCUCACCUGGGCGACGAUCCCUAGCUGCGCUGAGAUGAUUCUCAGCCACACGGGGACUGAGACACGGCCCAGACUCCUACGGAGGCAGCAGUGGGGAAUAUUGGACAAUGGGAGCAAGCCUGAUGAAGCCAUGCCGCGUGUAUGAAGAAGGCCCUAGGGUUGUAAAGUACUUUCAGUCGGGAGGCGUUACCGACAGAAGAAGCACCGGCUAACUCCGUGCCAGCAGCCGCGGUAAUAC
Molecule: ribosomal RNA, 403 nt
Filed under: uncultured bacterium
Lineage: Bacteria
Description: partial 16S ribosomal RNA
Rfam family: Bacterial small subunit ribosomal RNA
Source: RNAcentral